RNAcentral lists this ribosomal RNA (323 nucleotides) under uncultured Bacteroidota bacterium. RNAcentral's name for it is "bacterial SSU rRNA". It matches the Rfam family "Bacterial small subunit ribosomal RNA", at positions 28 to 351 of the family's 1533-position model. Lineage: Bacteria; Pseudomonadati; Bacteroidota. The record is from RNAcentral.
GAUGAACGCUAGCGGGAGGCUUAACACAUGCAAGUCGAGGGGUAUCAUGCUUUCGGGUGUGAGAGACCGGCGGACGGGUGCGUAACGCGUAUGCAACAUACCUUGUGCAGGGGGAUAGCCCGUGGAAACGCGGAUUAAUAUUCCAUAGAUCAGUAACAUCGCAUGGUGUAACUGGUAAAGUUGAGGCGGCACAAGAUUGGGCAUGCGUCUGAUUAGCUAGUUGGUAGGGUAACGGCCUACCAAGGCGACGAUCAGUAGGGGUUCUGAGAGGAUUAACCCCCACACUGGUACUGAGACACGGACCAGACUCCUACGGGAGGCAG